AGAGCGGAGCCGUGAGAGUUUCCACCCACAGCUUGGCCCGGCACCGCGGCGCGCGCAGCCAGAAAAGCUGCAAUGCUGUCCGUGGUUCCUGUGCAGACUCGGCAGUCCUCUGGAAAACCUGCUCAAAAAGGAUCGGGGUCGUCAGCAAGGUGAGCAACUCCUCUCCCAGAUUCACCACUGGUCUGCACCACGGUGAACAUAUGCAGUCUUUCUUCAUGGGUCAUCGCCGAUCUCAUCAAAAAAAAAUUCUGCAACCCUAAUAGCUGUUCACCAUAUUGCAAUCUGAUGUGAUCCUUGACGAAACCAAUGGGAGUCCCGGGAGCUUGAACGGAUGGCAGCAUUCGUGAGAAGGGCUGCGAGCGCAGCCAGGGUGGGUAGGAAUCAGCCCCAGGAUCGUACCCAACCUGCAAUGUGAGCGAGAAACCAGAGGAAGCCUGAGCGUUCUUGAGAUGAAACCCCGCCUACCCAAUAUGAUUUAUUUAGCAAAGAAAAAGAAAGGUUCCGGAUCCAGCUCCCCGAUUCCUCCAUUUUUUUUCUUCAAUCCUCCCCUAAUUCUGCUACUAUUUCGAUCUCACCGGCUCGUUUUAUGCAGGACAAUCAAUCGGAGCUUACUAUGAGAAGUAAUGAGAAGAUGAAUGCCCGCCACCUUCAGUGCGUUGUUGUAGUCCGUCACGCCGAGCCUCCCGUGAAGAAGCCACAACAGCCAGUCCGCUUGGUGCAGCAGCACGGCCGUCUCUUUGUU
RNAcentral lists this long non-coding RNA (742 nucleotides) under Spirodela polyrhiza (greater duckweed). RNAcentral's name for it is "long non-coding RNA (SPOL_LNC000931)". The record is from RNAcentral. Lineage: Eukaryota; Viridiplantae; Streptophyta; Magnoliopsida; Alismatales; Araceae.